GAUGAGGGCCUCAGGGGCCAGAAGAAGAGAGCCCCGAGUUAGCAGCUGGCUCCGUCUGGCCAGGAGAGGCCCUCCACCAAGCCAGGCUGCAGCCAGAAGGCCCUCCCAGGUGCCACCCGGAUGCCAGUCAUACGCUCCUGGACUUUGCAGCCUUCAGAAUCAUCAGCCGCCUACUUUUCUAAUCUUGACCCUGGUCUCAGGUAAUUUUUAAAUAGUAACAGAGAAAAGAUGAAGCAUGGAAGACACUUUAUAAAAACCGAAAUAUAGCUCCUGCACUUUUCUCAAGCUAGGGUAGAACUGGUAUGAUAGUUCAAUGUGGAGGAAAAAGCCAGAGAAAUUACAGAAGAAUUGGUUUUUUUUCUUUUCAACUUUAUAUGAUAAUUCAAACACACACACACACACACACACACACAUGCACUCACGCACACACACACACACACACCAGCAAACCUGAACCCCGGAACCAGGGAGCUUGUCACAGAAGACCCUAGCCUGACCUACUUUCUCACAGAGCAACUGUUCUGCCCAGCAGCCAAUCAUCACUCCAUCGUCACUCAGGGAGGAUUUCACAGGAGGUGAAGGCUAGUGGGGAAGAGCAGAGCUUUCCUAUCCUAACAUACCAAGGGUAAAUCUGGGAGAAGGCAACACAACACUGUUGGAACCCAUGCCCACAAAGAGGUCCUACCAAAUACAAAGCUAUUACGACACUAAAAAGGCUUGUAACAUCAGGUAGCCUAAUGGUUAGAGCAGGGUCUCAGCUUGGGCGCUAUUGACAAUAGAGGCUAAUUCUUUGUCGUGGGGACUGUCCUGUCCGUUGUAGAUGCCAGGAGCAGUCAAAUAUAUCUCUAGACGUUGUUUAGUGACCCCCGGAGUUGGGGGUAAGGUAAAGACACUCCUGGCCAAGAAUAGUUGAGUUAGACUAAAAACGGGCUGGUGGGAUCCACAUCCAGAUCUGUCACCUCCCAGCUCGACGAUCUCGGUUACUCUUAGUCCCCCUGGAGCUUAAUUUCUCCAUUUGUAAAGACAGGACGGUGUGGUGGACUGUGGUUCAUAUCCCUCCAAGGUUCCCGUGUGGGGACCUUGCCCCCAGAGUGGAGUGUUGGAACACGGUGUGGACGUUUAAGGGGUGAGGCCUAGUGGACAUCCGUAGGUCACUGGGGGCAUGGCGGAGAGGAAUUGUGAAACCCGUCUUCCUCUGCUGCCUGGCGCCAGAUGUGACUGCUCGCUCUGACACUUGCUCCCAUUAUUACCAUCCUCCAUCCGCCAUCCGCCAUGACAUCUUCACCAGAAUGUCGAUGCAGGCACCGUGUCCUUGGACCUCCCAAACCGUGAGCCCAGUAAACUUCCUUUUUUCAAAACAGCCUAUGUCAGGUAUUUUGUAAAAAUGAUGAAAAGCAAACCAACAGGGAUGUGUCACAGGAUUACUAUAGGAUUAAGUACUUGAAUACGCACCAUGCAGGACAAAGUAAAUGUUCAAGAAACCUACACUAUUUUGAGGAUGAUAAUGAUACCCUCUCACCUGAGUUAAAACACCAUAACCAACAGCCUGGAUCCAUUCACUGGUAAAAAGAGGAAAGACAGACUUCAUCUCCUGUAAAAUCACAUGGGGACACAUUCUGCUGUGGUGAUGGAGAGCCCUGAUGUGCCCUACAUUCAUGCUUAGCUAGAAGAAAAGCACCACACACAUCGGAUUAGCAGAGAAGCUCUGGAAAUUCUGAAGGACUCAGGCUUAAUAGGGGCUCGGGAAUCUGGACAACAACAGGGCCCAGUGUAAACACAGUAAAAACAGAACAGAAGGCCUUUUAGAAAAGCCGUAAGGCUAGAAAAAAUCCUCCCUUGCUGUAAAACAAACAAAAAAAAAAACAACCACCAUCUAAUUUAAGCGUCUCACUUAGAAGGACCCUGUAAGGUCAGAAGUCACUGCCCCUCCCUGCCAAAGACCACGGAGGCUCUGACCAUGGAGGCAACAUGUACAGGAUCCCUGAGGACAGAGGCAGGGCAGAGGCUGGGGCUGGGGGCGGGGGACAGGGGAGGGUCAUGGAAUAGUUAGGUGACUCAACAGCCACUGGCCUUUUGAUUGAUUUUACUAUGAAUACAUAAAUCAAGCAAGACGUGAACUUUAAACCGAUUGCAACACGUCGUGUUAUCAGUGUGUUCUCUGGUUAUUUAAUUUCUGAUCCGAUCUUAUCUCCUAUUUCCCAAGAUGCGUCUGAAAAGUUUCAUGCUCACAGAUAGAACUUCAAUCACCUUUUCUUUUCUCCUGCCAGGGCUCCGUGUUUUCAGAGCGUGUGUGGAUGGGGGGAAGUUUUAUAGAGCACAAGCUAGCACUUUUGGGGCCUCUCCCUUGCCUAUAGCAAAUUCCUUCUGGUUUGGAAGAAAAAUUCAUCUCUAUCAAGUUCCCCCCCCCCUGCUUUGGGGGGUAUUUCUUUAAUUGCCACAAUCACCCAAGGCUCUGGGUUUAUUUUUAUACAUUACUCAUCUGUUUAUUCAAUUUAUAUAUCAUUUGAUCUUGUGUGUAAGUCUUAAAAUUUCAGUUAUCAACUUGAGUGUUAUCAGGGUUAUUUUUCAUGCCAAAAGGCUCAGAAAUGCCAGUUGACUUAUGGACCUGGCUCUAGUUUUUCUUUUUUUUCCAAAGAUACGGUUAUUAGUCGGGGUUCUGGUAGGAAGGAGAUAGCUGUGUUGAAAAGACUUUUUAAAUGAAGCACUUUGGGCAGAAUUAUGGGGACCAGCAAGGGGUGCAGAGGCACCCUGAGCCCUGAAGGACCACAAGAGGCUGGGGACAGCAUUGUCAGAGUCUGAUAAGAAAUGAGCUGUGUGAGAGGGACCACCAACAGAAGGUACCAUAAGGGAACACAGCCACCAGCAACCUGUGGCGAGGCUGGAGGGAGCUGGCAGGAUACAUGCCCUUGGGUCUCUCCUCCCACCUCUUGAUUUCCUGAUGCUGCCUCCAAUUGGCCAGUCUGGAUGAUCCAAUCCAGAAAGAUCAAGUUUCCUGUCCCAGAGAAGGGCUGAGAGUAGAUUUGGAGUGAGGUGGGGAUAAGAUACACACAACAUCACUGACAUCAGCCUCUUCUGUACUGUUGGCUAUUGGAAUUCUCAUUAGGUUUUCAAUAGACAAGCGAUUCUCCAUAAAUUUUCAAUAGCUAUGGCACAGGUGAAAGUGUACCAAAUAUAUAUUUAUUAUCUUGAAGAAUUUCUCUUUGUUCCUGUUGAUCAGCCUGAUUCUCUGUAUAGGGUGGAUGGCUAUUGUGCUAGUCAGUUUUCUGUGACUGUGUCAAGAUACCUGAGAAAUCCACUUAAGAGUAAAAAGGUUUAUUUUGGCUUAUGGUUUCAGAGCUUUCAACCCAUGGUGGAUUUAGCCCUGUUGCUUUGGGCCUGUGGUGGCACAGUGCAUCAUAGCAGGGAGAAUGCAGGGGGCAUAGCUGCUUACCUCAUGGAAAUCAGGAAGCAAAGAAGGAGAGAAAGGGAGUUGAGUUCCAACAUCCUCUUCAAGGGCACACCUCCUAUGACCUGACUUCCUCUCAUUAGGCUCCACCCACUAAAGGUUCCACCACCUCCCAGGGGCACCAUGGGCUGGCAAGCAAGGCUGGCAACAUAAGCCUUUGGGGGGCAUUUAGGAACCAAACCAUAACACCUAUCUUAGAUGCUUUAAUGCCCCUGUCAUGGUAGAAAUGAUAACUCUCAGCCCCUAUUCCAGAUCUCCUGAGCCAGGAACUCGGAGAAUGAGGCUCAUCAAUCACUAAUGAGUCUGAAACGUGCCCAGGUCUGAAAAGCACUGGGCUGGAUGUUGUGGAGAACAUCUCCGAUGCUUCUCCCAAGCCACACCUUUUUGUUCCAGGUGUCACUGUGGCAACUGGCAGCACACAGGUGUAGCCUGGCCCCACCUCCCCUCAGCUGCACCAGUGUUGCUUCUCUGCCUCGGGCUCCUCCACUGCCGCAUGUGGGACGACUGGGAGGGCCUGCUCCACCGUCCAGGCAUGUGCAAACCUGGAAACGCUGAGCAGCUAAUGAGCAGCCCUGGGGCAGCCCUGGACCAGUCCACGUUGGGAGCCAGUGGAGCAAUUCUUCCCCUGCGGUCUUGGGGCGAAGGUGAAUUCUACGUGGUUCUUCAGAGGGGCUCAGUGGGACUGAGACCCAUUUCUCCAAAACACCAACGAGCGUGGCAGUUACCUAUGGGCAGCGUUCCCUUUUCUGAUUCUCUUCAUUUUUUUGCUUCCCUAUGUCAUUUCCCAAAAU
This 4236-nucleotide long non-coding RNA is filed under the name Marmota monax (woodchuck). The record is from RNAcentral. Lineage: Eukaryota; Metazoa; Chordata; Mammalia; Rodentia; Sciuridae.